RNAcentral lists this long non-coding RNA (247 nucleotides) under Vigna radiata. RNAcentral's name for it is "long non-coding RNA (VRAD_LNC004769)". Lineage: Eukaryota; Viridiplantae; Streptophyta; Magnoliopsida; Fabales; Fabaceae. The record is from RNAcentral.
GGGGGUAGAACUAGUAACUAUAGGGGCGCACAAAGUAAAUAAAAAAAAGGUUGCAGAAAUGGAAAAAGGGCUUAAGCCCAAAACACACAAAAAGAAUGCGGGGGUGCCAAGAUGAGAAAUGGGGGUGUGGAUGAGGAUAGGUUUUUUAUUCUUUUUUGGUUUUUGGGUUUGGCCAGAAGCCCAGGCAGCAAACAAAAGGGGUGUACGUGAGUAAUGAGGGUGUGGAGAAAAGUUUUCUAUAUUUUUU